ACGUCUGUCCUCUACCGUUCCCCGACCCAUCAGUAGAGAAGCUACGCUGCCUCGUCGUUCACGGAUAUCCCGAAAGCCGGAGGAAUAGCUCAAUCCUGUACAGCCAUGGCAGAAAACGCCGGCUUGGAAAACCACCGCAUCAAAAGCUUUAAAAACAAGGGACGUGAUGUCGAGACUAUGAGGAGGCAUCGAAAUGAAGUGACAGUCGAGCUGAGAAAGAACAAACGAGACGAGCAUCUACUGAAGAAGAGGAACGUCCCACUGGAGGAGAAUCUGGAAGACUCUGAUGUCGACUCUGACUUCAAAGCACAAAAUGUCACACUUGAUGUCAUUUUACAGAACGCCACAAGUGACAACGCCGUGGUUCAGCUCAGUGCUGUGCAGGCUGCCAGAAAACUCCUCUCCAGCGACAGAAACCCCCCGAUCGACGACUUGAUAAAGUCUGGUAUUCUGCCCAUCCUAGUCAAAUGUUUGGAGAGGGAUGACAACCCCUCGCUCCAGUUCGAGGCAGCCUGGGCCCUGACCAACAUUGCCUCAGGGACUUCGGCACAGACUCAGGCUGUGGUUAAAUCCAACGCCGUUCCUUUGUUCCUGCGACUGCUCCACUCCUCCCACCAGAAUGUGUGCGAACAGGCAGUCUGGGCUCUGGGCAACAUCAUCGGUGACGGCCCCCAGUGCAGGGACUACGUCAUCUCCCUGGGCGUGGUCGUCCCCCUGCUCUCAUUCAUCAACCCCUCCAUCCCCAUCAGCUUCCUCCGCAACGUCACCUGGGUCAUCGUCAACCUGUGCCGCAACAAGGACCCGCCGCCCCCCAUGGAGACCGUCCAAGAGGUGGGCACGAUUCUGCCGGCCCUCUGUUUGCUUAUAUACCACAUCGACCUAAAUAUUCUCGUAGACACGGUGUGGGCGUUAUCAUACCUGACCGACGGCGGUAAUGAGCAGAUCCAGAUGGUGAUAGAUUCGGGUGUGGUUCCCUUCCUCGUCCCGCUGCUCAGCCACCAGGAGGUCAAAGUUCAGACAGCCGCCCUGAGGGCCGUGGGGAACAUCGUGACCGGGACAGACGAACAGACGCAGGUGGUGCUCGACUGUGACGUGCUCUCGCACUUCCCCAACCUGCUCACACACCCCAAGGAGAAGAUCAACAAGGAAGCCGUGUGGUUCCUGUCCAACAUCACAGCAGGGAACCAGCAGCAGGUCCAGGCUGUAAUCGAUGCUGGACUCAUCCCCAUGAUCAUCCACCAACUGGCCAAGGGGGACUUUGGCACUCAGAAGGAGGCAGCCUGGGCCAUCAGCAACCUCACCAUCAGCGGGAGGAAAGACCAGUAUGGCUGUCGUGUGUACGUGUGGGUCCGUGUAGGUGGAGUUCCUGGUGGAGGAGAACGUCAUCCCUCCCUUCUGCAGCCUUCUGUCGGUCAAAGACUCCCAGGUGCUGCAGGUGGUGCUCGACGGCCUGAAGAACGUGCUCAUCAUGGCCGGGGACGAGGCCAGCACCAUCACGGAGAUCAUCGAGGAGUGUGGAGGUCUGGAGAAGAUAGAACAUCUGCAGCAGCAUGAGAAUGAAGACAUCUACAAACUAGCCUUUGAGAUUAUUGACCAGUACUUUGCCGGGGAUGAUAUCGACGAAGAUCCGAGUUUGAUCCCGGAGGCCACACAGGCGGGCUUCAGCUUCGACCCGGCCACCAACAUGCAAACCAAGGAGUUCAACUUCUAGACACCAGACGGUGGUUGUUUCAGCCAGCUGCACGGGUACUCCCUCAUCACCCCAGACAUUCAUCCAUCUCCCCUCCCACCUGGUACAGAAGGAUUCGACGUGGGGCCGUGAGGAAUCCCACUUUUGAAGGAUUGGCCCCUCCCCAUCUCUGGCACUGAGGGGUGCACUGCUUUGUGGUGUCCUUUUUAUUUAAAGAAACACAUGACAUCUUUCUUCUCUGAGCAUUACGGCCCGGCACACAGGAGUCCUGGUUAUGUGUGAGCAUCGCAACAUACGUCUGGUCAACGGCUUUGGGAGGAUGGCUGGCUUUUCCUCUGCCUGUGCUUCUCAAUAAUCCAUCGGAGCUCGGAAAUCAGAAAGAAGAGAAGUUGAUGUUUUUUGUUUCGUUGCCAAAAACCACUGUUUUCACCAAGGCAAACACGACCACACACACACACACACACACACACACACACAGAGACACACAGAGACAGACACACACACACACACACACACACACACACACACACACACACACACACACACACACACACACACACACACACACACACACGGCUAGAAUUUGUGCGCACACUUCUGGUAGAAGCGGAUACAUCACUAUUUUGGGGAAAGAAAUAUUGCUCUUAGUUCGUGUUUUAUUUUUUUGUGUUUUACCUUCCCUGGAUUGUUUUUCGGGUGUUAUGUCACAUGCACACACACACACCGACACACACAAUCACAGACACGCACUUAGUCACGUAGAAACCCGUUGGCCAGGUACCCCAAUGACCCUCACUCUCCUCCAGAUUAUAGAGCGGACCCCAGAGCUAAGCCAUGAACUACCACAGAGCCCCGCCGGCCGACCAGGUGCAUCCUGGGACAGGUGGGCGGGGCUGCAGCGUUCCUACAGCCUCGAGGAUUCCGUGGCAGGCGGACUUCUGACUCAAUGACGUCACUCCUUUUCGUGUGACCUCUUGUCGAAAAAAUGAUCAUGCUCAAAGACAUUUAAGUUUUGAACAGAAAGAAAAAGAUCAACAAAAAUGUGAAUAGAAACGCCAUAUUGUUCAUUUUAUUUUUUGUUUUUUUAUUUCCAAUUCAACCGCGGUCUCGAGCUCGUGUGCGAGCGGGGACCAGCGUUGGAUUGGGGGGGGCCGCGUUGAGGCAUGCCGUGUGUGGGGAGCGUCACUGGGUUGAGCCACAGUGACUUUAAGGAAGAGGGAGCAGGCCUUUGUGCUGGAGGAAUAUGUUCUGCCCGAGGGCCCUCCUGUAUCCAUCCCUCACUCACCCCGGUGCCCUCUGAGAAAACAAAAAGAAACACGAAAAA
RNA transcript from Gadus macrocephalus (Pacific cod), 3014 nucleotides. It is a transcript of the gene named karyopherin alpha 3 (importin alpha 4), with no coding region annotated. NCBI's taxonomy places the organism in Eukaryota, Metazoa, Chordata, Actinopteri, Gadiformes, Gadidae. The record is from RefSeq and is a predicted model, not a curated record. The transcript is spliced from 17 exons.